UCCUUCGUAGCUCAAUUGGCAGAGCAGCCGGCUGUUAACCGGCAGGUUACUGGUUCGAGUCCAGUCGGAGGAG
RNAcentral lists this transfer RNA (73 nucleotides) under Streptomyces olivaceus. Its description in RNAcentral is "tRNA-Asn". It matches the Rfam family "tRNA". Rfam says of the family: Transfer RNA (tRNA) molecules are approximately 80 nucleotides in length. Their secondary structure includes four short double-helical elements and three loops (D, anti-codon, and T loops). RNAcentral also lists the same sequence under 4 other names. Lineage: Bacteria; Bacillati; Actinomycetota; Actinomycetes; Kitasatosporales; Streptomycetaceae. The record is from RNAcentral.